Molecule: ribosomal RNA, 392 nt
Filed under: Rumina saharica
Lineage: Eukaryota; Metazoa; Mollusca; Gastropoda; Stylommatophora; Subulinidae
Description: partial 12S ribosomal RNA
Source: RNAcentral
UCUAAUAGACACACUAUACUAAACCUAAGCAGUACAAUGAAUUUUAUUAUCAUUAAAACUUAAGAAUUGUGGCGGCAACUUAAACACUCAGGGGAACUUACCAUAUAAUUGAUAACCAACAAGGAGUCCUCACCUGUUCUUUAUAAUUAGUAUACCGCCGUCUUUAGCUUUCUUAAAGAAAGUUAACAAAUAAUUACCUUUAAUAUGACAGGUCAUGGUGCUGUAAAUGUUCAGGUAUUUAAGGUGAGUUACAAUACCUAAGAAUUAGUUCGAACUAUAAUACAAAAGUAUUUAUAUGAAGGAGGACUUGAUUGUAAAAAGCAUAUAAUUUAUACCCUCAAUGUUUAUUGUAUUAUUUUAAAAAUAGCGCUUGAAUAGAAAUUAGGUUGUGC